RNAcentral lists this long non-coding RNA (4743 nucleotides) under Sus scrofa (pig). RNAcentral's name for it is "lncRNA (ENSSSCG00000049434.1)". Lineage: Eukaryota; Metazoa; Chordata; Mammalia; Artiodactyla; Suidae. The record is from RNAcentral.
UUAUGUUCCACUCUUUCAUCUGUGUCUCAUAAUAUUUCAAGCACACAUCCAAAUAAACAUGAACAGGGAGUUUCAUUAUAGUGUUUUUUAGAGAAGGCUUAAUAGUACAUCAGUAGGAGAAAAAAAAAGUUACAUGUUGAGGAUACAGUUAGAUGAAGUAACCUAGAAAUGCCAAGCAUCAAAGAGAUUAUGCAAUUUUCCCAGUAUUACAUGACAGUACAUGAGUAUUAAGUAGUAGAGACAUUACCAACUGUGUCACAUCAUUUCAGAGAUUAUACUUUUAUUCAGAGCUUGCAAAAAAAAUAACAUUGUGUGAAAAAUGUAAGCAAGACGAUGAAACUACAGAGAAGUACCAUUUAUAUAAAUCAAAAAUAAAUGGGAAAGUUCCCAUUGUGGAUCAGCAGAAAGGAAUCUGACUAGUAUCCAUGAGGAUGCAGGUUUGAUCCCUGGCCUUGCUCAGUGGGUUAAAGUUCCGGCGAGCUGUGGUGUAGGUUGCAGAUGCAGCUGGAAUCCCGCGUUGCUGUGGCUGUGGCAUAGGCUGUAAUUUGACCCCUAGCCUGGGAACCUCCAUAUGCCACUGGUGCAGCCCUAAAGAGACUAAAUAAAUAAAUAAAUGUACACUCAAAUUAGUACUAUAUAAUCUCAAAGACACACAGAAAUAUAAGAAUGUUAAAUAUUUAAGGCAUGGGGAGAUGGAUGAAAAUAAGAAUGGGAGAUAGAGUAAAAGUAUUCAAAUAAAAUAAUACAAGCAGAUGCUAACCAUUAUUAUUUUUCAUAGUAAUAUUUUUCAGAGUCUGAAAUAUUUAUCAGUAAUCUAUUUUUAAGGUGCUAGUUUUUUUUUCUAAUUUUGAGAAAUCCUCAGUUAUUUAAAAGUAAAAUUCAGUUUAUAGUCAAACUUAUAAUAAAACUAGCAAUUACAUAAGCCUUGUGUCACAGUAUGUCAGGCACAGUUUUAUAAUAGAUGAUAGAUCAUUAGACCAUAAAUAGCUAGUUAGAUAUAUAGAAUACAGAAAUACAUAUAUAUAUCUAUAUAUUUUGCUUUUUAGGGGCGCACCUGUGGUGUAUGUAAGUUUCUGGGCUGGGGUCUACAGCUGCCAGCCUAUACCACAGCCACAGCAACAUGGGAUCUGAGCUGUGUCUGUGACCUACAUCCACAGCUUAAGGCAACACCGGAUCCUUAACCCACUGAGCGAGGCUAGGGAUCAAACCCGCAUCCUCAUGGUCAUUAGUCGGGUUUGUUACCACUGAACCACAAAGGGAACUCCUAGAAUACAGAAAUAUAGAUAUAUAAUCAGUGAUAUACAUACAGUGAUAGAUGUACAUGAAUAUAUACACACAUACUCAUACUUUGCUCAGAACGUCAGUGCUGUUGAUACUUUCAUUUUUGUGAUAAGAAAAUUAAGAUCAACUGAAAUUGCUUGUCCGAGUUCACAUGUUUUGUUAGGCUGAAUAAUGCACAAAGAUAGCCACAUUCUGACCCCUGGAAUCCGUGAAUAUUUACCUUAGAGGGCAAAGGAGUGAAAAUAUUGUGGCAAAAGAUGUGAUUAACUUAAGGAUUCUGAGAUGGGCUGAUUGUCCUGGAUCAUCUGGGUGGACCCAAUAAAAUCACAAGGAUUCUCAUAAACCGAAGACGGGAGGGUCAGAAGAGCAGGAUGCUCUGUAAAGGAGGAAGAUGUGAUGAAAGAGGAAAAAUUAGAGGAGAGAUUUGAUGAUGUUACACUUUAAAGAUGAAGGAAGAAGCCAUAAGCCUAAGAAUACAGGCAUCCUUUAGAAUUUGGAAAAGGCAAAGAAAGGGAUUUUCCCCUGGAACCUUCAAAACAAAAGCAGCUCUGCUUUCAUUUUGAUUUUAGCCCUUUAUUUAUUUAUUUAUUUUUAAUUAGCUUCUGCUAUUUUAUUUUAUUUUUUGUUUUUUUCUAGGGUCAUACCUGCAACACAUGGAGAUUCCCAGGCUAGGGGUCUCAUCAGAGCUGUAGCUGCCGGCCUACACCAGAGACAGCAAUGCUGGAUCCAAGCUGCAUCUGUGACCUACACCACAGCUCUUGGCAAUGCCAGAUCCUUAACCCACUGAGCAAGGCCAGGGAUUGAACCCGCAACCUCAUGGUUCCUAGUCGGAUUCCUUAACCACUGUGCCACGAUGGGAACUCCUGAUUUUAGCCCUUUAAAUCUCAUUUUUUUUUUUUACUUUAAAUCUUUAGAAAUUAAAGAAAAUAGAUUUAUGUUACCUUAAGCCACUAAUUUUGUGUAAUUUGUUGCAGCAAUUGGAAAGUAAAAGAACCAGCUAGUGUCAGAGCCCCAUUACAAUCUUAUCUGAUAUUCUCCAGCUACACUUUCUACCUCAGUUUAGUAAUUUGGAAUAUUCUUAGGUAACAUGUUAUAGAAUUAUUAUGAAUAUGUUUUUCAAAUGAGGUUCUCCAAAAUCUCAUGACUCGACUAAAUUUGACCUUUGUAACAGUGAAAGUUCCUAACCCAUAAAACUACAUCACACUACAGCACAGAAAAUUAAAAUUGUCCUCUUUUAUACUCACUCAGGCAGCACACUUGCUUUCCAAACUGCAGGUUUUCUACUGAUAUUUGAAUAUGUGCUAAGACAUGAUGAUGAACCCAUAAUCAUCCCCCACUUGAAAAAGUGUGAAAUAAUACCUAAAAUUACCUCAGUGACAUUUCAGAAUCAUACCCUUACUGAAAGAAAUGCAAAGAAACAAGUAAUGGCUUACUUCAGAAAAAUAUCUCCCACGUAUUAGUACACUGUCUGGCACAUAUUAAAGGUUAAAACUUACUUGUUUAAUUAAAAAAAUGACAUUUGAAAUUAUUUAUAGUAAUAUUAAUUUAGAAAAAAUUGUCAUAAAUCUUCAUUUCUAUUGUCACAUAAAUUUUUUACUUCGGUUCACAUGUAAGAGAAGAACAUGCUAUUAUAAUUACAGCUAUUAUGAAUUUGAAUGAUUUUAUUUUUCUUAUCUAUCAUUUGGAGCUAAAAAAGAGCAAUGUAAUUUCACUUGAGUUAGAGCUGAGGCAUUUACAAUAGAUUAGUAUUAGAUUAAAUGUUAUAAUAUAGCAAUUUUCAUUAAAUAACCUGGAGCUGCUCUUUAAAAAAAAUAUUGUCAUUUGAGCUAGGAAAUUUAACUUUCUCUGCCAGGUUUUAUAUUCAUCAUAAAGAGUAAAUUUGGAGCUAGAAGAAAUGCAGUAUACCAUUUUAAGCCAUUUUUGAGUUUACAGAUUGAUAGAACUUUUCUUUAAACACAGGCUACGAGAAGAAGAAUUUUAACUGAACAGAAAUGAGACAUAGUCCUGUCUCUCUGUUUGAGUACUGUAACUACCUUGACUGUGAGGGGCUAUCUGAAAAAUACUUCUUUUCUACAGAUUUCAGUUGUUCUCCCAUGUCAUGGAUAAGUAUAUGUCCUAGACUUUAGAGGUAUUAUAAAUGCAUACCUCAAAAUUCGAUGAAGACAGGACUGUGGUGUUAAAUCCUCAUAUGAUAAUCUUUUUGUUUGAUUGUGUUUCAUUGUCUAGAACUUUGUAAAAAAAACAAACAAAUAAACACCACCCCAUCACCUCUCUUUGCCUGUGAGCUCACUGAAGAUUUAGCAUUUUAAGGAGUCUCCAUACUAAGUAGAAGAUCUUCUUUUCUAUUCCUUUCACCACAUCUUUGCAUGACCUUUGGAUAUUUUUAAACUAGUAUCUUCAAACAUCAGCAGAGUAACUCAACCUAAAUGUACCAUUCUGCUUUUCAAUUACUUCUAAUUUUUGCCCUCUGCAGAAUUUCUUUCUUUUCAGUUCAACAGUAGGCUGAAGGGGCAGUUAUUAUAUUAAUCCAGUAAUUUUGUUUGAGUAUCUGGUUUACAGUUGUGCUUGCAUUAAAAAAUACUAGUGUAGGAGUUCCCAUCGUGGCUCAGUGCAAACAAAUCUGACUAGGAACCAUGAGGUUUCGGGUUCGAUCCCUGGCCUCGCUCAGUGGAUUAAGGAUCUGGCAUCGCCAUGAGCUGUGGUAUAGGUUGCAGAUGCGACUCGGACUGGUGUUGCAGUGGCUCUGGCAUAGGCCAGUGGCUACCACUCCGAUCAGGCCCCUAGCCUGGAAACCUCCACAUGCCUCAGGUGUGGCCCUCAAAAAAAAAGACAAAAGACAAAGAAAAAAAAAAUUUAAAAAAAUACUAUGAAAACAGGAGUUCGCAUUAUGGCUCAGUGGAAACGAAUCUAACUAGUAUCCGUGAGGAUGAAGGUUUGAUCCCUGGCCUUGCUCGGUGUGUUAAGGAUAUGGCAUUGCUGUGAGCUGUAGGUCACAGAUGUGGCUUAGAUCUGGAGUUGCUAUGGCCAGUGGCUACACUCAGAUUCAAACCCUACCCUGGCAACCUCCAAAUGCCAUAGGUGCAGCCCUAAAAAGAUCAAAAAAAGAAAAAAUAGUGAAAAUAUUUAUUCACUAAUACUACCUUUAAAAUAAUCCAUUUAGGAUAUGUCAGGUUAGUUUUCUUUUUGUUCAGUAAAAUUGUUGAUUCAGAGACCUUUAUUAAAAAUUUAUAUCUGGAGUUUCCAUUGUGGUGCAGCAGAAACGAAUCUAACUAGGAACCAUGCGGUUGUGCGUUCGAUCCCUGGCCUCGCUCAGUGGGUCAGGGAUCUGGCAUUGCCCUGAGCUGUGGUGUAGGUCGCAUACAUGGCUCAGAUCUAGCAUUGCUGUGUCUCUGGCCUAGGCUGGCAGCUGUAGCUCCAAUUAGACCCCUAGCCUGGGAACCUCCAUAUGCUGUGGGUGCAGCC